RNAcentral lists this ribosomal RNA (429 nucleotides) under Chloroflexota bacterium. Its description in RNAcentral is "Chloroflexi bacterium partial 16S ribosomal RNA". It matches the Rfam family "Bacterial small subunit ribosomal RNA", at positions 355 to 776 of the family's 1533-position model. The record is from RNAcentral. Lineage: Bacteria; Bacillati; Chloroflexota.
UGGGGAAUAUUGCACAAUGGGCGCAAGCCUGAUGCAGCCAUGCCGCGUGUGUGAAGAAGGCCUUCGGGUUGUAAAGCACUUUCAGCGGGGAGGAAGGCGUUAAGGUUAAUAACCUUGGCGAUUGACGUUACCCGCAGAAGAAGCACCGGCUAACUCCGUGCCAGCAGCCGCGGUAAUACGGAGGGUGCAAGCGUUAAUCGGACUUACUGGGCGUAAAGCGCACGCAGGCGGUCUGUCAAGUCGGAUGUGAAAUCCCCGGGCUCAACCUGGGAACUGCAUUCGAAACUGGCAGGCUAGAGUCUUGUAGAGGGGGGUAGAAUUCCAGGUGUAGCGGUGAAAUGCGUAGAGAUCUGGAGGAAUACCGGUGGCGAAGGCGGCCCCCUGGACAAAGACUGACGCUCAGGUGCGAAAGCGUGGGGAGCAAACAGG